AACGUGCCUUCCCUUCCCUUGGUUCCUCAUCUAGGCAAAGCUUCACACUGUCUCCACCCAGACAGGUGGAAGGCCAGUCCACUCAUCCUGUUUAUAGAAGAAGGGUGGGGAGAGCGAAAGGACAAGUUCCAGCCUCUCACAGGGCUUCUCACCAACCUGCCCUGUCUGAGCAGUUACUCUCCGAGCUCAGUCGCCCAUCCACUCUUCCUAAAGUCAGCCGGUCAGUGCUCUACACAGUUGGUCCUAAGAAAGAAACAAGUAUUCAAAGCUGGAUGUUCAAAGCACAUUGCCGACAGUCCUCCACUUAACGAAAGAAUUAAUUAUGGAACUUCUUUGAAGAGACAACUUUCCUAGGGCGUAUAAGGUACAAUUUUUACUUAGCAUCAAUGUAUUCACAAUUUUGGGGGGUAUAAACCUAAAAAGGCGCGUAUGUUUGGCUAUAAAUGUAUUUGUGUUAUUUUUCAAUUCUCAGUAUAAAAACUUGAUUUAGGCAGGGCUGGUAUCAUUAUUUCUACCUUUCAGGUGAGGAAAGGGAGACUCAGAGAGAUUCUAAGCAAAAAUGGGCGUUUCCACUGCUCCACAAUGACCCGCUGAGGGUCGUAUUUCUCAGCCUGCCCAAAUCCCACUGUUAUACCUGCGCUGUUUACAGAAAGUAGAGUAGAGGGUACCAGGGACUGGGGAGAGGGUGGGGAAGAUAUUAUUUAAUUGGUGCAGAGUCUCUAUUCUGGAUGAUGAAAAUGUUCUGGAAAAGGAUAGUGGUGAUGGUUGCAUGACAUUAUGAAUGUCCUUAGUAUCUGCUGAAUGUACACUUAAAAUGGUUAAAAGGGUACAUUGUAUAUUAAUUUUUUAACAUAGAAAAAGAAUUACCUAGCUGAAAUUCUGCAUCGCAGCAGGAUUAUGUUAGCUCACUUCCCCUCUGCCCUUUCCUUCCACCUCCCACUUCCCCCAAAUAAUAAAGAGAACUGAUCAAGAGAAAAUAAUUAAAAUUGAAGUAACACCGAGAAAUCACUUCUAACCCAGGAGAUUGGCAAAAAAUAAAGUAAGAUAAUACUCUUUGCUAGUAAAGACGCAGAAAAAGGACACUCUCGCACACUGUUGUUGAAAAAAUAAACUGGGCAGACUGGAAAACAAUCUAGCAAUAUACUAUAAACAUGUUUUUUAAAAUUAAAAGUACACAUACGUGGUAUUGGAGACAGGGAAAAUACACAGAUCAAUUGAAGAGAAUAGAGUUUGAGGAGAGGGAUAUUUCCUAGACUAAAACCAGGGGUGGGGUGUGGUCUCUGGGUCACAAGAUCAAUUGGAACUUGCAACCUGCUCACUAAUGGCACCCCAUAAUGAGAGACCCUCAGAAGGAAUAGUGGUUUGGGGUAUCCUGGGCUCUGGGAUCACCAUAGAAGCCCAUGACCCAAAGGUGAUUAGCAAGAUGAAAAACCUGCAGAGACCACACCUGGGGUAGGGGCUUCUCCCCUGUGAUCAAUAUGGACCCAUGGCAAGGGGGCCUAGACACUUUACCCAAUCCAGUGGCGGAUAAGGUAGUGACCAGAGAAAGAUUUCGGUUGAAUUUCCUGACAUCCCAGUAGGACGGGGAUGUGAAGUCAACAUUAAGUUGUGUUUGGUCAGGGUUCCCCAGAAAAACAUAACCAGUAGGAGACAGAUAGAUAGAUAAAUAGAUAGAUAGAUAAGUAGAUAAAGAUUUAUUAUAGGAAUUAGCUCACACAAUUGUGGAGGCCAAGAAGUCCCGCGAUUUGCCGUCUGUAAGCUGGAGAAAUAAGAAAGCUGGUUGUGCAAUUCACUUCAGAUAUGAAGCCCAGAGAACCAGGAGUGUCUAUUCAAGCAGAGAGAAUGAACUCAUGUUUCCUCCACCUUUCCGUUCUAUUCAAGCCCUCAGUGGAUUGGAUGGUGCCCCGCAAAUUGGCGAGGGGCAUCAUCUUUAUUUGACCUAUUGAUUCAAAUGCUAAUCUCUUCCAGCACCACCUCAGACACACCCAGAAAUAAUAUGUUACCAGCUCUCUGAGCGUCCCUUAGCCCAGUCAAGUUGGCAUAUAUAAUUCACCGUCACAAACAGUUUUGCAGAAAGUAAAGAACUAUGCUAUUACCUGCAUAUGUGAGUUGGCGAACUGAGAGUCUUCCCAGUUAUAUGAGAUUUAGAGGUAGGUAUUAUGGAUGAGGUGGGGUUCAAUCUCACCUUGAGAACACCAGGUAGGGGUUGGGGUGAGCACAGGUGUGACAGCCCAGGUGAGCAGGGAGUGGGCGGCAGACAGUGAAGAAACGGGCUUGGCUGGAGUAUAUGGUCCCAAUUAGAGAGUGGAAAGUGUCUGUCCUCCUCAUUAUCAAAACACAUCUGUCACUGAACACCUCCACGUACAAGGUUCCGGGCUGUAUGCUGUGAGGUAUGGAAAGGUGAGAAAUGCAGGGUCAGCGCUUUCUGUGAGCUCAUAAGUUAGCUUGAUAAUGUGCGUCCACGAAGAAAAACACUCAGAAGGUGGAGUGCCCGAUUCCUGACAUACAUCAUCCGUGCACUUGUUUCCUCAGCUAAAUCUUACUGUGUUUAAUCCUCACACCGGGCUAAGUAUUAGGGAUGGAGAGAUGAACGAUACAGUGCACCAUCCCUGGGAAAUGCAUAGAAAUCACCUCCGGCUGAGGAAGGUCUCCCAGAGCUGGACCUGGGUGGGCUGGUAGGAUGUGAUAGGUGUCUGAGGAGGAAGCGGGUACACCUGUGGCAAGAUCGGCACCUGGGACUGAUGGCCUGUGGAACACGCAGCCCAACACGCAGCCAAAGGAUUGGGACAGGCUUCGCCUUUGAGGAUGCCGACAAGCAAAUCUCCUUGUGAGAAGAUCAUUGUCUCCACGAACCCUGACGUCACAAACCCAUUGCAGCCUGUCCUCCCUCUUCUCACGGACAGUUGUGUCCAGCUGAAAGCAAGCACCAACCCUCAACUUGAAGCUGUGUGCCUAAGUUUUCACCAACACCAAGGGAUGCAAUAAGUGUGUGCUGAUUUGAUGGUAAAGGGGUCAUAGAAAGACCAACCCCAUGGGGUUUUAGCAUAUGGAAGUGAAGAGGGCUUUUCUAUCCCUUUCCUUUAGGGUGGUGGGGAUGGAGGCAGAGGUGAUGGGAUUGAUGGGGAAGGAGAGAAGCUAUGGAUUUGCUACAGCAGAACCUCUGGGGCAUUAGUAAUCAUGUAUUAAUAUUUCCUAAAGCUCCCCAGAUGAAGAAAAAAUUGAGAAGCAACUGCCCCAAGGAGAGAGGUAUGAAGAGGAGUCUUCUUUCAGAUUGAAUCGUGUGCCCAGAAUAAAUCAGUCCACCACUGCUGUAGAAUCCACCUGCUGACGCUCACUGUGACCCAGAUUCUUGUCUCAUUCCAUCAGCCCCGUUCCACGUCUCCCCCGCCCCCGCCCCCAGCCUUAUUCCAGUUCAGCCCCUUUAAUAUCCCUGCUACCCAUCGACUGCCAUUCCCUUAGGACUUCCUUCCAGCCCCAGUUAAGAAAAACAUAUGAUCACCGGCUUCCAGACCCCACCGCUUCCAUUCUGCAGACUCCAGUACCCUCUCCCAGACUGGAAGGAGUGAGAAGAGUUUGGGGUCUUUCUCCCCCCCCCCAAGCGAGUGAGCAUCCAGAUAUGGGCAAAAUCAGAGCGUGCUCAGUACGUGACCUCCGGGUGUUGGGAUGAACAUGCAGGCCAGGCUGCAGCCCUGCCAGGGUGCCCGGCGCUUGGAAUCUUUCAAUGCAAAUUUCCCUUGUGGCAGCCCUGGCCUCUUCUGCAGGGGUGGCAGCCGCCCUGGGAGGAAAGAUGAGAUUUAAAUUGGUAAUCAAGCACUGUACCAAACCGGACUUUGACCUUGUUCAGAAUUCCAUUGGCCCGUGUUCCCUGACCCACCACCGCCCUUUCUGCCCAAUUGUUCCCUUGAGUAGCUGCCUGCUAUCUAUGGCAAUAAGGCAGGCUGCCACCAGCUGCUGCUUCCCUGGCUGCCCUCCACCUGGCUGGAUCGGAAGGCCUUGGAAAUCAGAGAGCUUUGCCUUUCCAGCCACUUUGCUACCUCUGCUCCUGGAGCGAGACAAGAAUGGUCUGGAUGAGGUCUCUGGUCCUGGCUGUGCCUGCUGGUAGGGCCUGGGAGAGGUGAAGACAGCCCCGACAAACUUCUUUUAUGCACUCUUGGUUACCAAAGCGAUUCCCAGACGAGGCCUGGAAUGGCCAGUGUGGGCCCACACGCCUGCUAUGUCCACGGAAGCAGCAUGGAUCCAGCACCCAUUCUCUCCAGCUCCUUCCACUGCCCCAGAACACCCCUGCUUGCUGUAAAACACCACGUUUUUGCUCAUUUCUUCUUCCGAGAAGGCCUUCCACAUUCUCUUCUACAUGUCUAAACUCUGCCCUUCCUUCCAUGGCCUGGGGGACCACUCUCCCCCGUAGAGUGCCUACUCACUCCCCUGCAACCCUACCAUGCUUUUUCUCUGACCUCCUCAAUUCAUGACUCAAACCAAAUAUCUGGGGCAUUUAGUCACAUGCUGAUUUGCCAUGUUGUCUCAUUGUUUCAAGUGUUAUCUCCCCAACAAGAUGGUAGGCUCCCAGGGACUAUGCAUUACCUAGAAUUGGCACUUAGUAGGUCUACUGGGAAUCAGUGAAUGUGAAAGGACAAAUGAAUGAAUAUAGACGUUGCUUUAUUCAGAGCUCUGUUUUCUUUACACGCCUAGAAUUCUUCCCAACAAGAGAGCCCUUCUUUCCAUUGGCUGUCGUCACAACGAAGCUGCUGGUGGAAACUUUGCUUCCCAUGCCUCCCAGAGCACAGGGGAACCAGGAAUGUUUCACCAGGAGGAGUCAGUUGCCAGAACAGUUGGAUUUCCACCAGUGUGCAGGGCACUAGUGGCUGCUGGGAGCAGAUGUCUGCCCUCUUUGAUCUAACUGGGAUGCUAGAAUGUGCCCACACGAAGCUUUGUUUCCGUUAAUGCACACAGUAUGUAAGGGCUAAGAAUGGCCGGGUGCAGAAAGCACCCAGUCUAGGCUGUCCUAAUCAGAGAGCAUGUGAAGGAGGCAGAAAAUAGGGCUGUUGAAUGGAGGCAGCAGGGAGACUGGGUGUCCAAGGGAGGCAUGAAAGAGUGCCCCUACUCCUUCUUCCCCAGCCAGACUCCACCUGUCCAUGUCUGCUCCCCCACCCAGGUAAGAAAGAGCCAAAGAUGGGGCGAGGACAAGGGACAAGAUUGGGGGUGGGGUGGUGGAUGGAUAGUUAACUCAGGGGGUUCAUCUGAGAGGAAACGCCUUGGGAAUGCAAGGCAGCUCUCACACAUGCCCUAUCCAUCCGAAGGGGAGGCAUAGAGGAGGCUCAAAAAGCCAGGAGGGGCUUCCGUGGUGGCGCAGUGGUUGAGAGUCCGCCUGCCGAUGCAGGGGACACAGGUUCGUGCCCUGGUCCGGGAGGAUCCCACAUGCCGCGGAGCAGCUGGGCCCGUGAGCCAUGGCCGCUAAGCCUGCGCGUCCGGAGCCUGUGCUCCGCAACGGGAGAGGCUACAGCAGUGAGAGGCCCGCGUACCGCAAAAAAAAACAAAACCAAAAAAGCCAGGCGAAGACCAGACAGGCAAGAAAGAAGAUCUAGAAAGACAGGUGAAGUGUGAGCUGCCACAUCUUUGUACACAGAGGGCCCAAGGUUGGGGCAGGGGGUCGUUGAUGAGCUCUGUCCAUGGGGCUUCCACCUAUUGUCUCAGAAGUAAGUCAGGAGCAGGGGGCCAAGCACGGAGCAGCCUAUGUGUGGCCCCUGGGUGCCAUUGCGCUCCUGCGUCCUUCGCUGUGGUUAGGGCAGAGAGACCCUCUGACAGAAAGACAUAGGGUGCUUGUCUUCUGGGCAGAGGAGAGGCUCAGAGACAAGAAUAUGGGUGAAGGGGAGGUGGCAGCAUCCAACCUACAGGCAAGCGGACCGAGUGUGGUGGGGUGAGCCUGGGUGUCGAGGAGUCAUUCUGGGGCUCCCCAAGGAGCAGAAAUGCCCACAUGAGGUUUCCUAGCAGCGCCCUCCCCCAGGCCCUUCCCCUCUGGCCUCGGGCCUCUUGCCCACCGGUGCAUGCAGUCCCAUCACCGAUGACAGUGAGCAGAGUUUGCCAAUUCCAUUACUUUUAUUACUCAUGCCUUUCAUUACUCAUGCCUUUCCCAGGGAAAGGAACAGACUCGAAGGAGAAGGCAGUUGCCAUGGACUGGAACUUGCUGACGCACCUCUCAGCUAACUCGACCCCUUUCUUUCAAGAGGAAUUUUACACAGCCCAUUUUAUGGGUACCUACUGACAUCAAAACUGUUAAGUCAGAGGGCAGGCAUCGAGGUCAGAGAACGCCCCACCCCUGGGGCGUAUUUCCUCCUUCUGCUCCACAAUGUCCCCCAGGAUCACGGGAGGAUGGGCAGGCAAAAAAGAAGAAGAUUUCAUACGCCCAGGUGUGUGUGCAGGGGAACUUUCUCUCCCACUCUAGCCAGAGACAUAGAAUUUAAUAAAUCCUCAGAACGGGGGAGGCAGGGGUGUGUGAGGAUGUCUUUCAUUGUGGGGAGGGUGGGUCAAACACCUAGAGCGUCUGCUAACCGCAUGCUCUUGAGAGCACGCCCACACACAUGGUGUACCGCUGAGGCCCAGAAACAGGGAAGAGAAAGGGGGCCAAUCUGGAAGCCAGGGCUCCAUCCCCAGUCACUCCACGCUGGUUAGGACUGUGGUUCCCAUACCUGGAUGGAUGGCAGAAUCACCUGGCCAGCUCAGCAAACGUGCAGAUUCUUGGGGUCCCACCGCAGUCCCACCAAGUCAGAGCCACGUGGGGUGGGGAAAUUGGGGUAUGCGUGUGUUCAACAAGCUCCCCUGGGAUUCUCAUGCCACAUUCCCUUUCCUGAGUUUAGAGUUGCCGGAUCCACGUGGGGUUCCUUGAAAAUUGAUGCUACUCUUGUUCAAGGCCACAGGCAGACCUCCAAAGACAGCCCCGGAGCCAGCACAUGGAAUGGGAGAGCCAGAUCUACUCCCAGAGAAGCACCCUGCAGCCUGAGUAUCCUCACGGCACACUCCGCCACUGCAGGUGAUCACCUGGGAUGCAUUGAUUUCCGUUCUCCCAUAGGACCUCUUUUGUAGCACUUUGUUUGUUUUCACAAAAUCAACUAUUACAGAUAUUUGAUGAUGGACUUGAAUGCUAUUCUUCUCCCUGUUUAACAUGUUUGCCAACCAACCUUACCUGCCAAAGGUAAUGUGGAAACCCAUCACCCACUGGCUUGUUCAAGAUGAGCCCAGGGUCACUAAACCAUUAUCCUAUUUUCUUUGGAGCUUCUGUUUCCCUGAACAACAGGCUGCAAAGUGAUUUGGAAAAUCAAGGUUAGACCCAUACCCUGGGCAAAAUGCCUGAGAAGAAAAGACAGUUUCUUAUCUUUUUUUUUUCUACUUUUUUUUCCAACCUAAGGUAUAUAUAAGGUCACAGAAAAGAGAGUGUUGAUUCCACGUGGCUGGCGCUGAACCCUUGCAAUUUACCAAUGACGUCUCACUCACUCAUGAGUUUUCCUGGGUCUGAGUCACACACAGGGAGGCUUUUAAGCAGAGAAAAGAAAAUUCCUGAAAUGAAUGAGUUACAUUCUGGCCCGGGAGGCAAUACCACAGAAGCACUCGCUCUCACCCACACAAUCAGGCCUGAGAGCUGAUGGAAAUUUGUGGGAAAGGUUGUGAAAUUGGGGAUUACAGAAACAAAGUCUAAGGCAGUGGAAGGAAUUCUACUGGCAGACUGCCUUUGAACUUGAACUCUUCCUUGGGUUGCCAGCCUGCUGGCCUGUCCUGCAGAUUUUGGACUCCCCCGUCUCUGCGAUCACACGAGCCAACUCCUUAAAAUAAAUCCCUCUUUAUAUGCGCACAUCCUAUUGACAAAUGCACAGUCCAAGAGACAAAAACACCCACACACGCCCACAACCAGCCCAGCAGGGAGAUCUUUAGUCCCUACGAUGGGCCAGACUGUUACAAUAAGAAAAUCAACACUGACCUAGACUGCAGUUUCUACGUGGCUUCUGUCAGGAACACAAAGGUGUAUAUGGAACAGAGUCCCUGUCCUCCAGUGACUUUCCAACUCGUCACCAAGUUAAAGAACCUCAACACUGAAAGGGGCCCCAGUGAACCUCACCUAGUCCAACCCCUCGGUUUUACGGACGGGGAAACUGAGGUUCUGAGAGGGGACAGGACCUGGUCCAGGCAGCACAGCCUGAUGGUGGAAACGUCGGGACGAGAUCCCAAGGAAAACAUUCCAGACAAGAAGAGCAUGAGUAUGAGUGAUUGUGUGUGUGUGUGACACACACACUGAAGAAGGUGGGAAGGUGAACAGCUGGAGUAAUUAUGGGCUGCAGACAAGGUGGAAAUGGGGGAAGGUGACCGUGGAGAGUGUCAGACACCUGAGUGUGAAGUUUAGAAUGGGUCCACCAGAUUGGAGAAGCUUCCAAACACUUUGGGUGUGGGGAGCAACACGAUGAAAGAGUUCUUACAAGAGUGCUGCUGUUACAGGAAUAUUGUAAAAGAGAAAAAUGUUGAAGAAAACCUUCUUUUUUUUUUUUUUUGCCGCACCACACAUCUUGGGGGAUCUUAUUUCUCUGACCAGGAAUCGAACCUGUGUCCCCCACAGUGGAAGCACAGAGUCCUAACAACUGGACCGCCAGGGAAUUCCCAAAGAACACCUCCUUAAAGCCAAACCUUAUGACAGAUAUCUGUCUCUUGAGAGAUUAGGAGGCCCGAUACAGAUUAGAACUGGAGUAGAAGAAUUACCCAGUUAGAAGAAUGUCAAGGGAAAAGCAGAAUGAGACAGAAUGAACUAGAAGGGACUUCCCUGGUGGCACAGUGGUUAAGAAUCCGCCUGCUAAUGCAGGGGACACAGGUUUGAGCCCUGGUCCGGGAAGAUCCCACAUGCUGUGGAGCAGCUAAGCCCGUGCGCCACAACUACUGAGCCUGCACUCUAGAGCCCAUGAGCCACAACUACUGAGCCCACGCGCCACAACUACUGAAGCCCACGUGCCUAGAGCCCGUGCUCUGCAACAAGAGAAGCCACCACAAUGAGAAGGUCCCACACCACAACGAAGAGUAGCCCCCGCUCGCCGCAACUAGAGAAAGCCCGUGCACAGCAAUGAAGACCCAACACAGCCAAAAAUAAAUAAAAAUUAAAAAAAAAAAAAAAAAAAAGAA
Orcinus orca (killer whale) is the source of this 9147-nucleotide long non-coding RNA. RefSeq lists it as uncharacterized. The record is from RefSeq and is a predicted model, not a curated record. NCBI's taxonomy places the organism in Eukaryota, Metazoa, Chordata, Mammalia, Artiodactyla, Delphinidae. The transcript has 2 exons.